GACCAGGGCUGAGGCCAGGCUGCGGCUAAUCAGACCAGAUGCUUCCGCCCUACCCGGGAGUCGUGUCGUGUCGUGUGCGGGGUGUGCAGAUGUCUCAGCGCAGCAGGCCCAGGGAGCCUGGGCCAGGCCACGCCCGCACGGCUGCUGAAGGGGACUCAGGGACGGGUCACCCGAAGCCUGUCCUCCGGAGGCUCCAUGUCCUGCGUCGGGGAUUUCCUCCAGGGUACAGACACCUGUCCUGUCGCCUCCUGCCUCGCUGGUCCCUGCUGCCCAGAGAGACCCUCCCCUCCCCGGACCUCCUUUGCCCUUGGACACUCCUUGAGGCUUCCAGUUGCCUGCUGGACAAGGACACCUUCCUGGAAAACUUCCACCUUGAGUGGUGGCCAAAUAAGGCCUACCUCUGCUACGAGACGGAGCUCCCCAGCGGUGACCCCGGGGUCCCUCUGGGCCAACACAAGGACGUCCUGUGCAAUAAGGUUGGACCGAUCUCCAUGGUCCUGGGAGCCCCCACAGUGACAUUCAUCCCAUGGACCCUGGGGGCCUCUCUCCUUGGCGCCCCUCCCCCCUUGUCACUGCACAGGGAGCCCUUUUGUAUCCCACAGCAAAUGACACAACGCUUUCCUGCCUCCUCUGUGCUCGGCCUGCCCGGGGAGGUCAGCCGGACUGCCACGCGGAGUUGCGCCGGCUGCAGCGGAUCCAGGCCUGGGAGCUGCUUUCUGUCCUGGAGAACAGACACGUGACCCCACACCCCUUGGCCUCCCGCCUCUAUACCGAGGAAGGAUUUCAGAAUGGGUUGCGCCUCCUGCGGGGGGCCGGGGCCCGCAUCGCCAUCAUGACCUCCACCGGUCCGUGUGGAGCUCCCGGGGUGGGCGGUGGGCAGGGAGAGGCCUGGGGGGACUGGCUACGAAGGCGUGGGCAGGAGUGGAAUCCCUGGCGGAAGCCUCUGGUGGCUGCACAGGCCAGGCUGACCUGGGACGGCAGGGGACAGCGGAGCGUGCUGGAAGAGAGAGUUGGGGCCAGGAGAGGAGUCCGGAACGGGCGGGAGAAUAGCGGACGUGCAAGAGAGACAUGGGGUGUCCCGAGAGGAGGGAAAUCCGGCUGGCCGAGACCGCAGGCUGAAGAAAGAGUCCCAGGGGUGAAAGGAGUCGCAGGGAGGACAGAGGGCAGCGGCGCCGUUAUGAAGGGCAAAGCCUGUCCCUGA
RNAcentral lists this long non-coding RNA (1201 nucleotides) under Felis catus (domestic cat). Its description in RNAcentral is "lncRNA (ENSFCAG00000047243.1)". Lineage: Eukaryota; Metazoa; Chordata; Mammalia; Carnivora; Felidae. The record is from RNAcentral.